RNAcentral lists this long non-coding RNA (906 nucleotides) under Gallus gallus (chicken). RNAcentral describes it as "long non-coding RNA NONGGAT001449". Lineage: Eukaryota; Metazoa; Chordata; Aves; Galliformes; Phasianidae. The record is from RNAcentral.
GGGGGACGGCGGCCCUUGGGGGUGUGGGGACGGUCCGUGGAGCGAAGGGGGUUUCGGGCCCUCGGUUUGUUAUGUGCCCCGUUUGGAUGAGCCCCGGCCAGCAGGGACUCGGGAUGCUGUACUCCCAGCCCCAGUAUGCCCUCUGUCCCCUAUGGGACAGCGUUGUGUGGGGCAGCGAUGCUUGGGUGCUCCCUGGGCUGCUGGGCCGGGUGGGUCCUCGCUUUGCCUCUCCACAGCCCAGUGCUGGCCCUGCCAGCUGCAUUCAGGCACCCCGUCCUUCAGUCAGAGCAUUAGUGGGGCUGGCCGGGCAGGGGGUCCAGCUCUGCCCUCACCUCUGUGGCUGCAGCUGAAUCCCUAAAGCUUCCAUCCCGCGGUAAAUGAAUCCAGGCAGAGCAGCCAAACCCUGAGGUGGUCGCAUGGUUUGACAUCACCCCUCGCUGCUCCAUGGCAGCAGCACCGGGCACUGAGUGGGAUCCUGCCCUGUGCCCCUCAGCAGCAGCUCUUUGGGCUACAGCCUGAGGUCGCGCUGCAGGACGUGACCCUGUGUUGCCCUUGGUCCUGCUGAUAAUUGGCUUCAACGGGGAUUGUCUGCGAGGAGGAUUUGUUGUAGAGCCCGAGGUGAGGGAGGAAGCCAACACUCAGCAUCGUGGCCCUUUGUCCCUUGUCCCCAGGUGGAGGGGAGCCAGUGUGGAUGGGAGAGAUUUGUACCAUGCGCAGCGGAGCGAUGGUUUGGGGCUGAAGUCCAUCAGCAUGCUCCAGGUACCACUGCCCCUGGAUCGUGAUGGGAUCCUAUUCCGGCUCCGUUUCACCACUCUGGCUGUUGGGACUGUGUUUUGCCCCUUGUUUGGUUUCCUUUUCUGCGUGAUUUGGUCUCUGCUCUUCCACUUCCAGGAGACAACAGCCACC